RNAcentral lists this ribosomal RNA (206 nucleotides) under Klebsiella pneumoniae. RNAcentral describes it as "partial 16S ribosomal RNA". It matches the Rfam family "Bacterial small subunit ribosomal RNA", at positions 1024 to 1230 of the family's 1533-position model. RNAcentral also lists the same sequence under 1 other name. Lineage: Bacteria; Pseudomonadati; Pseudomonadota; Gammaproteobacteria; Enterobacterales; Enterobacteriaceae. The record is from RNAcentral.
GAACUGUGAGACAGGUGCUGCAUGGCUGUCGUCAGCUCGUGUUGUGAAAUGUUGGGUUAAGUCCCGCAACGAGCGCAACCCUUAUCCUUUGUUGCCAGCGGUUCGGCCGGGAACUCAAAGGAGACUGCCAGUGAUAAACUGGAGGAAGGUGGGGAUGACGUCAAGUCAUCAUGGCCCUUACGACCAGGGCUACACACGUGCUACAA